GACGAACGCUGGCGGCGUGCCUAAUACAUGCAAGUAGAACGCUGAAGGAGGAGCUUGCUCUUCUGGAUGAGUUGCGAACGGGUGAGUAACGCGUAGGUAACCUGCCUGGUAGCGGGGGAUAACUGUUGGAAACGAUAGCUAAUACCGCAUAAGAGUAGAUGUUGCAUGACAUUUGCUUAAAAGGUGCAAUUGCAUCACUACCAGAUGGACCUGCGUUGUAUUAGCUAGUUGGUGGGGUAACGGCUCACCAAGGCGACGAUACAUAGCCGACCUGAGAGGGUGAUCGGCCACACUGGGACUGAGACACGGCCCAGACUCCUACGGGAGGCAGCAGUAGGGAAUCUUCGGCAAUGGACGGAAGUCUGACCGAGCAACGCCGCGUGAGUGAAGAAGGUUUUCGGAUCGUAAAGCUCUGUUGUAAGAGAAGAACGAGUGUGAGAGUGGAAAGUUCACACUGUGACGGUAUCUUACCAGAAAGGGACGGCUAACUACGUG
This 495-nucleotide ribosomal RNA is filed under the name uncultured bacterium. RNAcentral describes it as "partial 16S ribosomal RNA". It matches the Rfam family "Bacterial small subunit ribosomal RNA", at positions 28 to 507 of the family's 1533-position model. The record is from RNAcentral.